CAAAUACCGACAAAUACAAUCUCCCGAUAAAGAUUCUAUCCCAAAGCUGCCCCACCUAUCGUCCAAUUAGUUGGCGUUUUCCACUCAGAGGAGAAGAUGACGGUUAUGGCAAUGACGUAUUCACACUUCAACAUAGUCAACAUCGACUCAUGUUAAUAUUGACUUGAAUCUCAAUUUCAUUGAGGAUAAAAUUAAUUUGAGUUUUUAAACAAGAAAUUUUAUUGAAAUAGUCAAAGGGUUUAGUAAACUACAACAUGGAAGAAAAUAUGGAAAGGGGACUAUGGUACAAUGGCAAGUUAACUAAAGUGGAUCUUCAGUCCCGAACCAAAAGAAAGAUUACUUAGACGCUCAUGCAAGAUUAUUUCGAUUAUGAAAAAUGAACUGCCAUAUGUGAGAUGAAAUGAGAUGUGAGAUGAAAUCAAUUAUGAA
Long non-coding RNA from Daphnia pulicaria, 429 nucleotides. RefSeq lists it as uncharacterized. NCBI's taxonomy places the organism in Eukaryota, Metazoa, Arthropoda, Branchiopoda, Diplostraca, Daphniidae. The transcript has 3 exons. The record is from RefSeq and is a predicted model, not a curated record.